RNAcentral lists this microRNA precursor (108 nucleotides) under Canis lupus familiaris (dog). RNAcentral's name for it is "mir-8834 microRNA precursor family". It matches the Rfam family "mir-8834 microRNA precursor family". Lineage: Eukaryota; Metazoa; Chordata; Mammalia; Carnivora; Canidae. The record is from Rfam by way of RNAcentral. RNAcentral also lists the same sequence under 1 other name.
AGGAGGAACAACCACAGUGGCGGCGGCCAGCUCUGGAGCCCUGGAGUCAGCUCCCACAGUAACCACCGCAGCUCCCAGUCUGCAGGGGCCUGGAUGCUCCAGGGGUGG